Molecule: ribosomal RNA, 435 nt
Filed under: 2,4-D-degrading bacterium TFD2
Lineage: Bacteria; Pseudomonadati; Pseudomonadota; Betaproteobacteria; Burkholderiales
Description: partial small subunit ribosomal RNA
Source: RNAcentral
CCGGUGCUUAUUCUUCCGGUACCGUCAUCCCCCCACCGUAUUAGGACGGAGGUUUUCUUUCCGGACAAAAGUGCUUUACAACCCGAAGGCCUUCUUCACACACGCGGGAUUGCUGGAUCAGGGUUGCCCCCAUUGUCCAAAAUUCCCCACUGCUGCCUCCCGUAGGAGUCUGGGCCGUGUCUCAGUCCCAGUGUGGCUGGUCGUCCUCUCAGACCAGAUACAGAUCGUCGGCUUGGUAGGCCUUUACCCCACCAACUAGCUAAUCUGCCAUCGGCCGUCCCUUGAGCGCGAGGUCCGAAGAUCCCCCGCUUUCCUCCAUAGAGUGUAUGUGGUAUUAAUCCGGCUUUCGCGGGCUAUCCCCCACUACAGGACACGUUCCGAUGUAUUACUCACCCGUUCGCCACUUCGGCGGCAGGGGUGGCCCCGGUGCGUGUG